Heterocephalus glaber (naked mole-rat) is the source of this 2028-nucleotide non-coding RNA. Lineage: Eukaryota; Metazoa; Chordata; Mammalia; Rodentia; Bathyergidae. The record is from RefSeq and is a predicted model, not a curated record.
AAGGCUGGACGACCUCUGUUGGUGCGGCUGCAGCCUUACAAGAAAUUUCAGCAAGAUACGGAAGGGAGAGCUCAGCCCUAGGCCGAGAGCUGCCGGGAGGGGGCGCGCCCAAGCGCACAGCAAAGACAAAGACCGGCAGCCAACGGUUGUCGGCGCUGGCGGAGGCUCCAGAGGCUGGGAGUGGAGUCCGAGGAUCGAACAGCUCCUGAAGACGGAAGGUCCCCCUCUUUCCACCUCCACAGACAACACCAAGCACACUGGAAGAAAGGACUGGCAGUGUGAACACGCAGUCUCCUUCCUAGGAGAGAGAAAUGCAAGGCCUGUUGUGAACAAGCCUGGGAUUGCCAGGAUCCUAGGACCUUUAAGAAGGCACCAAAAUGUAUCAGCUAUGGAUGAAGAAGGGGACUCAGGGUCCCAGCCCAACCCCGGGGCCUCCACACCCUUGGACUCCAGCCCUAGGUUCUCAGAGGCACUGCAGCAGUCAGUUCCAAGCCUUGUGUACCCCUCCCCACCAUGCUGUCAUCCCCAGUCAGGACUCAGUUUAGUUUACCUGCUGGGCUCCCACAUUUGACCUCUAUUUCCACAAGGCUCUUCCCUCCCCCUCCGAACUCACAACCCUUUGACCUCUCUCCAUUCUUAUUUUGCCAUUUGCCAGUGCCGAGUGACUCAUUCAGACACUCAGCAACACACGUUGAUUGACCACCUGCUGUAUGCAGAACAGUCUAAAGCCCUGGCUGCAUAAGGGUCUCCAUGGCAAAGGCCCCUCACAAACUCACCUUCUCUAUUAACCCUCAGGGCAGGUCACAAGCCAGGCUGACAGGGUCAGGAGAACAAUGAGCUCCCUCCCACAGGGAUCGAACUCAAGACGUUGUGCUUGCAAGGAAGGCAGCAGAACCCCAGUCAUCCCUUUGUUUACUGAUGACCACAACCAAGGAUAGAGGCCAACUGCUGCGGCAGAUCAUCCCUCAACAUUGGGGCGUCCCUGGACACUUCCAACCCUUCUCCUGACAGGCCAGGGGUCCUUUCAAGCCCUAGUGUAGUAGGCAGGAAAGACUCCCCAGACACCAAGUAGAACAAAGGAGGCAGAAGUCCCAGGACACAACCAGUAUGUCCCUCUUUUCUGGACGGCCUGGAGACGAGAAGGGGUGAAGACAACCUUUUCUCCUGCUUUGCUUCUCUCCUUGUGUACCACUGACCUUCAAGUCCCUGACACCGCUAGAGACAGUCGAGUCUGCAGGAAAGAAGAACAUCAGGAGCCCAAAGAGACAUUUACAAGCCAUGUUCCUUUGUCUGCUUCUCCCUGGUGACAGGUCCAGACCCCUGUGCCAGAGCCCAGCAUAGGAGUUGCUCAGCACUCCCACCAGCCAGCAUCCUGAGCUUCCCUGAGGCCUCUGUGUGACCUUGGGGAGGGAUCUCUUUGACUGGUUCAGCCCCAGCACAUGCUGGAUCACAGGCUUUGCGGUCUCAGAGUCUGUUCCCAGGGAGGGCUAAUGGCGCCCUCCCCAUACUGUUGUCACUGUAUAGACAGAGCCUUCAGCUUGGGAACUAGUUAUGGAAUAAGCCCCUCCCUAGAAUAACCAAAUCCCAAUCCUAUCCCCACGUUCCCAAACACCGUUGGAUUUUUAAUCUUGGGUUCCAGAGGCCGGUCUGCUGUGUCACCAAACAAACUCAGAGAGAGGCGAGGGCCACUGCCUGGAGUGCAUCUGACGCACAGAGACCGAAAGCCAUUUAUAUGCCAAGAAAUACGUCAUUAAAUCACUAAACCUGUAAGGCGAAGUACACUUAGAUGCUUCUGACUCAUCCUGAUGCCCAUUUGCAGAACCUCAGCAGAAAAUGUACUGGAGGAAACAGAAGAAAGGACUUAGAACAAAGUCAAAUGCCAGUGAGAUGAGAUGUCAGAUGCUCCUCUCCUUACUCAGUUUCCUACCAGCAAGGCCCGGCAGGGCUUUGAUUCCUGGUCUUCAGGGCUUCUGCAGGGGUUCAAGGGCAGAGAUCUUGAUAGACAAUGCAUUUCCAAAGGCAAGUGUC